RNAcentral lists this ribosomal RNA (849 nucleotides) under uncultured Tulasnellaceae. RNAcentral's name for it is "eukaryotic LSU rRNA". The stretch from base 747 to 849 matches the Rfam family "Eukaryotic large subunit ribosomal RNA", at positions 1 to 104 of the family's 3401-position model. The record is from RNAcentral. Lineage: Eukaryota; Fungi; Basidiomycota; Agaricomycetes; Cantharellales; Tulasnellaceae.
CCGCCGCUCGGUGCGCGUUGGGGAGGCCGUCGUGUCGAAAGCGACGGUUUCUAAUCCCUUCUGUGGCCUCCGGUCACGUUAAUCGGAGCGAGGGCUCAUGCCCCGCCCCGCGCUUCAGAUGUUCGAGUCGGGUCUGGAGCGCGCGUCCCUACCGAACAGCCAUUAAACACAUGGGACCUCACUCGAUCGCUGGGAUGCCUCGUAUCGCACGCUGGCGUAAGACCCGCGAGGCCACGGCCAUAUCGUCGGCACAACUAAUCGUGAUCAUACAGUUAAUUACAACUGGUAGCGUUGGAUCCCUCGGCAUGGCUAUCGAUGAAGAACGCGGCCAGCUGCGAAAUGUGAUGUGAAUUGCAACUCAAAGCGGUUAUCGUGAAUCAUUGACUAUUUGAACGCAUUGCACCGCCCUUUUGGGAGUGGUACACCCGAUUGAGAGUCAUAAUGACCUUCAGGUCGGGACGCUUGGCCAUUCGAUUGGCAGAUGCUCUCGUGCCGCAACCCAUCCCACUCGGGGUGGCGGAGGUGCUUCUGCAUGAGUGUCUCGACUCUGGCUUCGAGGCCGCACGGCACCCCGGUGUCGCGCGCCUUCAGAUGCAUUAGUGGCGACCGUGAGAGCGAGUCGGACUCUGUGUAAUAGUUCAUUCCACGCAGAGGAGCGCUUCGGUGCACUUGCGACUCGUGGUGCCGCUUCGAACCCGCCCCCGGGCACACCGCAGAGGCCCCGUGGCCCGCGCACAUUAUGGAAUUGGCCUCAGUUGGGUGGGAUGACCCGCUUGAUUUAAGCAUAUUAUUCAGCGGAGGAAAAGAAACUAACAAGGAUUCCCCCAGUAACGGCGAGUGAAGAGGGAA